Non-coding RNA from Ceratotherium simum simum (southern white rhinoceros), 234 nucleotides. NCBI's taxonomy places the organism in Eukaryota, Metazoa, Chordata, Mammalia, Perissodactyla, Rhinocerotidae. The record is from RefSeq and is a predicted model, not a curated record.
UGUCACGCUGUGAUCUGCACUGGCCGUGGGCGACAUAGGAGGGACUCAGGGGGACCCGGGAGACCUAGAAAUGGUCUCAGUGGCCAUUGAGGAUGUGUCUGUGACCUUCACCCUGGAGGAGUGGGCUUUAUUGGAUCCUUCACAGAAGAAACUCUACAGAGAUGUGAUGUCGGAAACCUUCAGGAAUCUGGCCUCCAUUGGAAAGAAAUGGAAAGAUCAUGACAUUGAAGAUCA